GUGCUUGCUUCNGCAGCACAUACACUAAAAUUGGAAUGAUACAGAGAAGAUUAGCAUGGCCCCUGUGCAAUAGAAACACAAUGACACCUGACAUAGUAUU
Molecule: small nuclear RNA, 100 nt
Filed under: Neotoma lepida (desert woodrat)
Lineage: Eukaryota; Metazoa; Chordata; Mammalia; Rodentia; Cricetidae
Source: RNAcentral